GCCGGUAGUGGUGGCGCACGCCGGUAGGAUUUGCUGAAGGAGGCAGAGGCAGGAGGAUCACGAGUUCGAGGCCAGCCUGGGCUACACAUUUUUUUCACCCUCCGCUCCUCACCCUUUCCUCAACACACUUCUUACACACUCACCCCUGCGCUCCUCCUCUUCUUUGCACUCUUC
Molecule: ribosomal RNA, 174 nt
Organism: Mus musculus (house mouse)
Lineage: Eukaryota; Metazoa; Chordata; Mammalia; Rodentia; Muridae
Source: RefSeq, marked validated